CACAAGGAGAGAAAGAGAAGCAUGUCAGUCAACAUUGUCAACUUCAUAGGCAUUAUCCAAAUCAUGCACUCCUACUCCUAGUCUUUAAAUCUGACAGGUUUGUCUUCAUUCUCACACACUAUUGUUAUGGUGUCAGCCGGUGGCUGUGACCUUUAAACCUCCCCAUCCAAUCAGCUUAGGUCACAUCUCUCUAUUAGACCUCAUUCCCCACUCCACUUCCUUUCAAUAACCGCUCAACAGGUGUCCCAUCCCUUUAACACUCCAAUAAAGCCCUCAACAAGUGUCCCAUCCCUUUAACACUCCAAUAAAGCCCUCAACAGGUGUCCCAUCCCUUUAACACUCCAAUAAAGCCCUCAACAGGUGUCCCAUCCCUUUAACACUCCAAUAAAGCCCUCAGCAAGUGUCCCAUCCUUUAACACUCCAAUAAAGCCCUCAGCAGGUGUCCCAUCCUUUAACACUCCAAUAAAGCCCUCAGCAGGUGUCCCAUCCUUUAACACUCCAAUAAAGCCCUCAGCAAGUGUCCCAUCCUUUAACACUCCAAUAAAGCCCUCAGCAGGUGUCCCAUCCUUUAACACUCCAAUAAAGCCCUCAGCAGGUGUCCCAUCCCUUUAACACUCCAAUAAAGCCCUCAGCAGGUGUCCCAUCCCUUUAACACUCCAAUAAAGCCCUCAGCAGGUGUCCCAUCCCUGUAACACUCCAAUAAAGCCCUCAACAGGUGUCCCAUCCCUUUAACACUCCAAUAAAGCCCUCAGCAGGUGUCCCAUCCCUUUAACACUCCAAUAAAGCCCUCAACAGGUGUCCCAUCCCUUUAACACUCCAAUAAAGCCCUCAACAGGUGUCCCAUCCCUUUAACACUCCAAUAAAGCCCUCAACAGGUGUCCAUCCCAUAUCCCAUACAUUCGGACAGGAACACACUCCUUUCUGCCCCAAGUGUGCACUUGCUCACCUCUCCUUAUCGAUUUAAGAUUACUAGCCUAUGCUUACACCAAUCCAAUGCUUUUAAAUGCAUGAGGGGGAGUGAAUGAGUGCACACUUUUGCGAGCAAGGUAACGAAUUGGGACACAGGGUCUCUCCUAUCCCACCACUCCCUUCCCCUCCCCCUCUCCUCUCCGCUGGCCCCCUCUCACCACCUCAGCUGAAGGUGAAAUGCACAGCAGAGCACUGACAGGAAGUCUGCAGAGAGCACUUCCUUCCUGUUUCUGUCGCGGCACAGGUCCUCUCAGAGUGCCAAAAUGUGUGUUUGCAGAACACCUCCCUCUAACCCAACAGGACUAAUAUGAAGUUCAAUUAAAUGCAUUGUUUUCUCAUUCUAAGAAACACCUAAUCAAGAGGGCCAGACGUUUGAUUGGUGGGUAAAACC
Long non-coding RNA from Oncorhynchus keta (chum salmon), 1360 nucleotides. RefSeq lists it as uncharacterized. The transcript has 3 exons. NCBI's taxonomy places the organism in Eukaryota, Metazoa, Chordata, Actinopteri, Salmoniformes, Salmonidae. The record is from RefSeq and is a predicted model, not a curated record.